This 602-nucleotide ribosomal RNA is filed under the name uncultured Trichoderma. RNAcentral's name for it is "eukaryotic LSU rRNA". The stretch from base 234 to 387 matches the Rfam family "5.8S ribosomal RNA". Lineage: Eukaryota; Fungi; Ascomycota; Sordariomycetes; Hypocreales; Hypocreaceae. The record is from RNAcentral.
UCUCCGUUGGUGAACCAGCGGAGGGAUCAUUACCGAGUUUACAACUCCCAAACCCAAUGUGAACGUUACCAAACUGUUGCCUCGGCGGGAUCUCUGCCCCGGGUGCGUCGCAGCCCCGGACCAAGGCGCCCGCCGGAGGACCAACCAAAACUCUUUUUGUAUACCCCCUCGCGGGUUUUUUUAUAAUCUGAGCCUUCUCGGCGCCUCUCGUAGGCGUUUCGAAAAUGAAUCAAAACUUUCAACAACGGAUCUCUUGGUUCUGGCAUCGAUGAAGAACGCAGCGAAAUGCGAUAAGUAAUGUGAAUUGCAGAAUUCAGUGAAUCAUCGAAUCCUUGAACGCACAUUGCGCCCGCCAGUAUUCUGGCGGGCAUGCCUGUCCGAGCGUCAUUUCAACCCUCGAACCCCUCCGGGGGGUCGGCGUUGGGGAUCGGCCCUGCCUCUUGGCGGUGGCCGUCUCCGAAAUACAGUGGCGGUCUCGCCGCAGCCUCUCCUGCGCAGUAGUUUGCACACUCGCAUCGGGAGCGCGGCGCGUCCACAGCCGUUAAACACCCAACUUCUGAAAUGUUGACCUCGGAUCAGGUAGGAAUACCCGCUGAACUUAA